This 433-nucleotide ribosomal RNA is filed under the name uncultured bacterium. RNAcentral's name for it is "partial 16S ribosomal RNA". It matches the Rfam family "Bacterial small subunit ribosomal RNA", at positions 29 to 507 of the family's 1533-position model. The record is from RNAcentral.
AACGAACGCUGGCGGCAUGCCUAACACAUGCAAGUCGAACGAGACCUUCGGGUCUAGUGGCGCACGGGUGCGUAACGCGUGGGAACCUGCCCUUAGGUUCGGAAUAACUCCCCGAAAGGGGUGCUAAUACCGGAUAAUGUCUUCGGACCAAAGAUUUAUCGCCUUUGGAUGGGCCCGCGUUGGAUUAGCUAGUUGGUAGGGUAAAAACCUACCAAGGCGACGAUCCAUAGCUGGUCUGAGAGGAUGAUCAGCCACACUGGGACUGAGACACGGCCCAGACUCCUACGGGAGGCAGCAGAGGGGAAUAUUGGACACUGGGCGAAAGCCUGAUCCAGCAAUGCCGCGUGAGUGAUGAAGGCCUUAGGGUUGUAAAGCUCUUUUACCCGGGAUGAUAAUGACAGUACCGGGAGAAUAAGCUCCGGCUAACUCCGUG